RNAcentral lists this ribosomal RNA (529 nucleotides) under Trachylepis polytropis (tropical mabuya). Its description in RNAcentral is "partial 16S ribosomal RNA". It matches the Rfam family "Bacterial large subunit ribosomal RNA", at positions 1841 to 2621 of the family's 2925-position model. Lineage: Eukaryota; Metazoa; Chordata; Lepidosauria; Squamata; Scincidae. The record is from RNAcentral.
AAGUAUUAAAGGUCCCGCCUGCCCAGUGAAAUAUUUUAACGGCCGCGGUAUCCUAACCGUGCAAAGGUAGCGUAAUCACUUGUCUCCUAAAUAGAGACUCGUAUGAACGGCUAAAUGAGGACAAACCUGUCUCUUAUAACAAAUCAGUGAAACUGAUCUCUCAGUACAAAAGCUGGGAUAAAAACAUAAGACGAGAAGACCCCGUGGAGCUUUAAACAAACUACUUUACCUGAAUCCUAGUACACUGUUUUAAGUUGGGGCGACUUCGGAAUAAAGAAAAACUUCCGAGCACAGAAUCACCACUUCUAACCAAGGCAAACAGGCCCCGGAAUAAAAUGACCCGGCUCUUCUGCCGACCAACGAACCAAGUUACCCCGGGGAUAACAGCGCUAUCUUCUUCAAGAGUCCCUAUCAACAAGAAGGUUUACGACCUCGAUGUUGGAUCAGGACACCCAAAUGGUGCAGCCGCUAUUAAAGGUUCGUUUGUUCAACGAUUAACAGUCCUACGUGAUCUGAGUUCAGACCGGAG